UGGAAGUAGGAGCUGAUGUAGAG
Molecule: unclassified non-coding RNA, 23 nt
Filed under: Mus musculus (house mouse)
Lineage: Eukaryota; Metazoa; Chordata; Mammalia; Rodentia; Muridae
Description: oocyte_clustered_small_RNA14012
Source: RNAcentral